ACCCCUUCUGUAUAAAAGUUUGAAAGAUCCAGAUAAUCCUAAAGAAAAAGAUCUGACCAAAGACAUAAUGCAAGCUCGUUUGGGUAGAAUAUUUUUAGAUGUUUCUGGGAAUCAUCUUCUCCUCAGCUUGUUGCCAAGGUUACCCAAUGGAGAACAUGAAUUAUUGUACUUCAACCUUAUUUCGUCUGAAAACAAGAGCCCCUCAAGACUGCAGCUUAAGAAUACCGAAGUAACAGCUAUUGCUUGGUGUCACAAAUCUCGGCCUAACCAGUUGGUAAACAGUGGUCCAUUUUAUUGGGAUCAUCUUUAGUGUAAUUUAUGAAGCAGAUUUGAACGCCAGUAGUGAUACAUUCCGCAAUGCUUACUUAGCUCAAUCAACCUUUGACAGGAGAGAAGUAAGUAUGUUUAGAUUUUUUAUCUCUCUCUGAAGUGG
This 433-nucleotide long non-coding RNA is filed under the name Bemisia tabaci. Its description in RNAcentral is "lncRNA ENSSWEETPG013325". Lineage: Eukaryota; Metazoa; Arthropoda; Insecta; Hemiptera; Aleyrodidae. The record is from RNAcentral.